Molecule: ribosomal RNA, 286 nt
Filed under: uncultured bacterium
Lineage: Bacteria
Description: partial 16S ribosomal RNA
Source: RNAcentral
UUACCGCGGCUGCUGGCACGGAGUUAGCCGGUGCUUCCUUCAGUGGUACCGUCAAUGAAAGACAGUAUUAAUGUCUACCAGUUUCUUCCCACUUGACAGAGUUUUACGACCCGAAAGCCUUCAUCACUCACGCGGNNUUGCUNCGUCAGGNUUUCCCCCAUUGCGNAAAAUUCCNCACUGCUGCCUCCCGUAGGAAGCCGAAUUCCAGCACACUGGCGGCCGUUACUAGUGGAUCCGAGCUCGGUACCAAGCUUGGCGUAAUCAUGGUCAUAGCUGUUUCCUGUGA